Molecule: non-coding RNA, 180 nt
Filed under: Levilactobacillus zymae
Lineage: Bacteria; Bacillati; Bacillota; Bacilli; Lactobacillales; Lactobacillaceae
Description: Lactobacillus zymae Lysine sequence
Rfam family: Lysine riboswitch aptamer
About the family: Riboswitches are metabolite binding domains within certain messenger RNAs that serve as precision sensors for their corresponding targets. Allosteric rearrangement of mRNA structure is mediated by ligand binding, and this results in modulation of gene expression. This family includes riboswitches that sense lysine in a number of genes involved in lysine metabolism, including lysC.
Source: RNAcentral
UCGAAUAGAAGAGGCGCGAUCAACAAGAGUCGUUUCCCGGAGGUGGGCCACACCGAUGAGGGGAGAUUAAAGGGGCGAUCGCCGAAAUUCAAUCCGCUGGCCGGCGGGUUGGGUUGGGUCCUGGUUCAACAGAUCAGGGACUGUCGCAGUCAAAUAGGACUGCGGGGCGCUUUCAACGAU